RNAcentral lists this long non-coding RNA (6446 nucleotides) under Sus scrofa (pig). Its description in RNAcentral is "lncRNA (ENSSSCG00000061118.1)". The record is from RNAcentral. Lineage: Eukaryota; Metazoa; Chordata; Mammalia; Artiodactyla; Suidae.
UGGCAAAUAAACCAAUUUAACAGAAGAGAGAGUCUGCUGUUUCUGGAUGGACCUGAUAUAUAACAGAGGUGAAGAUCAGUGAAGAUAAUCAAUAAAUUAAUGGUACUGUAUUGGGGAAACUACUUAUGGGAGAAAGUAAUUGGAUUCCUACUUCAUACCGCAAAAAAAAAAAAAAAAAAAAAAAAAAAGUGCUUUGUUGAUCUAAGUGGGAAAAGUAGAAAACUUAAUGUAGGAAAAUAUCCUUGAUUUUGAGAUAUGCAGAAUUUCUCUUAAAAAGAUCAAAAAGUAAAAAACAGAAUGUUAAAAAAAAAAAAAAACCUGGCUCAUCUAUGAACCAUGUAACUAUUCAGAUCUUAUCCUACUACUUUGGUUGGCUUUGGGGACAGGCAUGGUGCCAGAAGCAAUUUCCUAGCUUUAGCCUCUUCCCCUGGGCCAUGCCAGCAGUACUCCAGGACCAAGCUAGAAUAAAAUACAGAUGCUGAAGAAAGUUUGAGAAGAGACUGCAGGAUAUAAGAAUGUGGACAAAGAGAAGGGAGAAAACCAGGAAAGUUCAAAGGAAGAAGCUGUCCCUCUUGUUCAAGCACCUUUUAGCCCUUCAGGAGCUCAGCAGGUCCCAAGUGUGGUUGCCAGUAGAGGGGUCUGUGAGUACAUUAUGGUUGAUUUGAAUCUAGACCAGCAGACCUAAGAAAAAGUCACUGUUCUUUUGUUAUUUGAAAAGGAAGUCAUACAAACAUCGAUUUUAAUUCUUAAUUUAUGUGUUAAUCAGGUGAAUAAAAAUUAAUGCCUGCAAUACUAUGUAUAAAGUAGCACACAGAUUUGCCAACAACUGCAUUCGUAAUCUUUUUUUUUUUUUUUUUUUUUUUUUUUUUUAGGGCUGCACCCACGGCAUAUGGAGGUUCCCAGGCUAGGGGUCCAAUCAGAGCUGUAGCUAUCUGCCUAUGCCACAGCCACAGCCACAUGGGAUCUGAGCUGCAUCUGUGACCUACACCACAGCUCACAGCAAUGCCAGAUCCUUAACCCACCGAGCAAGGGCAGGGAUUGAACCCUCAAAUUCGUUUCCACUGCACCACGACAGGAACUCCUGCAUUUGUAAUCUUAUAUUCAACCUGGAACAAUACAGGUUGAUGGUCUGCAUAAAUAAUCAUAACAUCCAACCCACUCCACUGAGAAAAAUUAUGAAUUUCACUAUGCUGAAUUAGACGGAGAAAAACCAGCUCAAGUAUGGAGAUUUCUUAUUAAUUUUUUUCUACUUUAGAGAGUCAACCUUUUUAAAAACACACUAUAGAAAUAUGCUCUCAUGGAUGAUCAGUAGGAGUGUAAAAGUAGUUAAAUAAUACAGGAAAUGAGAGAAAGUAAUUCAAAACGCACUUAAAUAUUUGAAAUAAAGUUACCUGGAAAAUAUAUCAAAGUUAAAUAACUGUUUUUCAGGGAAAAUAAACUGCAAUGGCUCUUUUUCCCAUUUUUGGCUGCCCUGUGGCAUAUCGAGUUCCCUGGCUAGGGAUCAAAUCCAAGCCGCAGUCACUACCUAAACCACAGCUGCAGCAACACCAGAUCCUUAACCCACUGCACCAGGCUGGGGAGGUUUCUCAUCGAUUUUGAUUUUCAAGGGUAGUAUCUGGAUAAAUAUCAUUUUGCCCACCCUAAGAUCUGUAAGGCAAAAUAUCACUUCUCUAAAGGUAGCUUUCAAAAUCAUAGUCAUAAUUACCAGUAGGAAAUCAUUGCUCCCUUGGGACUGGACUUUGUAUAUCCAACCACUUCAAGUAUAGCAAAUAUCUUGCCACUGCAUAGAUUGAUAAACUAAGAAUGACACACACAAGACACAAAAAGAGAAAGACGGAGAAUUCUGAUAGGUUAACUAUCCAGUCACAUUUUAUUUCCUUUCCUCUGAUCAAUGCCAAAAAGCCUACAACAGAUACACACUCACUACAAGUAAAAUGUAUCCCGGAACCCCAUCUCAUGGAAACAAACUAUCAAAAGACCUUAUGUUACAAAAUAACACAUCACCAGCAAUGAAGGAAGCAUGGAUUGUCAGCAAUUGCUUAUGCCUACUGAAAUUUCCAAAGGUUGCAUUGGAUUAUUGUAAUAUUUUGAGAAUAUUCCUUUUAAUUAAAAGUGAAAUACUGGCUCUCCUCUUAAAAUAUGUAUCACAACAUAUUUGGAAACAAUGUUAACAGGAAAAUGAUUCCAGAUGUUCUCCAAGAAGUUGUGAGAGCCCAUUUGAGAAAUACUGAUAUACAGCAAUAUAUGUGUGAGUUAAACCUAUGUGUAUACAUACAUUCAUGUAUUUCAUAUACAGACAGAAGGCACACAGACAGAAGGCGCGCGCACACACACACACACACACACACAGGCAUGAUGACAAGAAAAUAAACUAGAGUAAAUGUGGAAAUUUGGGGAAAGAAACUGAUAACUCUCCAUAAACAAUUUGCUAGAGUAAAUCACUGAACUUAAUGGUUGAAAUGAAACACACAAGGGAGCAAUUAGGUAGAAUGAUACAAAGGCAAAUAAAUAGGACCAAACUUCAUGUAAAUAUAAUGCUUUCAAUGCUGCUGAUAAGUUUCAAGAAAAGUUAGCUUGACUAGUUAAAUCUCAGGAAGGAGAAGUAUUAUGACCAUCUUCAGAAUCCAGAUGGAGGUACAAGCUCCAUUUCUGUGUUCAAAAACCAUGAGUAAAUGUGGUGAAGAGAACACUUUACAAUGUAGACUUUUUAACAAAUACUAAGGUUUAAAGUUUUCCUAAAAGAAUUAGCUAAUAGAAGAAAUAAAAGAGUAUAAUUUUUGAAUAAAGUAGUAAAAGACAGUGAAUUAAAAUGUUAAGUUAAACAUUAAUUAUCUUCAACAUUCAUUUUCAAAAGUUAGGGAUACUUAAGAAAAAUUAAGUGCCACUAAAGCCACAUGCUUAAAAAAUAACACUUACUGAUUUUUUUUCUAUGAAAGCAACAACUGCGUAUUUGCAGAGAAUUUAGAUAAAUAAAAAGAAAUAAAAUCUCAAUUCAAACCUCUCAAGUUGGAAAUAUACAAGACAAUAAAUAAACUAUGUAAACUGGAAUAAAAAUAAGUUUGUAAAUGUAUAGUUUGAAAAGAAACAAAGUCAUUUACCUAGAACUGUGUGAACUAGAAUUCUGUAAGGUAACCAGACAGAAAAUUAGCAAAGAAAAAUUAAUAGCUUUCCAUUACACAUACAAAGAGAGAUUACAUAAAUAUUUGAAAAGAUUCCAUCUUAAAAAAAGCAAUAAAAACUUCACUGCAAUAUGUUAAAAACUGUGUAACAAGUUAUGGUGAUCUAUAAAAUGUUACCGAAGGACCUAAAGAAAAACUUAAGUGGGAAAUAAACUGUAUUUAUGGAUAGGAAUGCUCAAUAUUGCACAUAUUUUAAUAACCAAAGUUAGCCUACAAAUUAUAUAAAAUUGCAAUGAAAUUUUCAUGGAACACAAAAUUUUCAUGGAACUUGGAAAAGUUAUUUUAAAAUUCAUAUGGAGGAGUAAAAGCUUAAGAAUAUCAGGAAAAUCCUGAAAAUGAAGAAACCAAUUGUGAGAUGCAUUCAACUAGACAUCAGAACAAGGCAGAGCUAAAAUUACAACAGUGACAAAGCAGCAUACAUGACAGGACAAAAUGAUUUAAUCAUAUAUCCCUGAGUGAAGUUCUGAUCUCUUCAUUCUGGAAAUACGAAGAAUCUGAAAUUUUAUUCAGGUAUGUGUGGUAAUUUAUGACAGAGACCAGUAUUAUCAACCAGUGGGAAAUACAAUGAACUUACUCAGUGUUUUGGGUAAAUGAAAAGGUAUAGAAGAGAGUUCUCUCUCAAAUCAUUAAAUAAAAUAAUUUCAGCUCAUCUAAAAGCCCAAAUGAAAAUAUUAAAGUAUUAGCAAUAUGCCAUAAAGGAAAAAAUCAACAAGUCUAUCUAAAUCAAAACUAAAAUUAAAGUGAAAAAGCAGGAAAGAAAUUAGCUCCUUGGGAGCUCAUGCUUGCAACACAUACAACAGAUAAUCAACUAACAUCCAGGAAAACAUGAGUAUAUUUUAUAAUUUAUAUGUAUAUACCCUUUAAAAUCAGUAAGCUAGAGAUGAGCAAUGGCAGCAGAAAAAUGGCCAAAGGAUAUAAACAGAUAACCAGAGGAGACUUAAGUCACCAAUAAACACAAAAGUAUGUUCUAUUUUGCUGACAGUCAGAAAAAUGGAAAUUAAAAUAACAUCAUUCAUCAGUUUUUGAUCUCACAGGGAGGCAAAAUGUAAAAGUUUAAUAAUAUCUACUGUCAACAAGAGUUAGGCAAUAUGUGCUCUUUGCAGCACAGAUGUGAGCAUAGCCAUUUUGGUGGACAACUUGGGAGGCUCUGUUAAAAGUGAAAAUGUGCAAAACCUCACUUUGUCUACAGAAUGAAAAAAUGGAAACAAGUUGAAUGACUAUUACUAGGGAGGGAAGAACUAUGGGUUUUGUUUUUGCCUUUGUUUUUGAUAAAUUUAAUUGGAGUAUAGCUGGCUUGCAAAGUUGUGUUCGUUUCAGGCGUACAGCAAAGUAAAUCAGUUAUAGACAUAUAUAAAUCCAUUCCUCUUCUGAGAGGGGAACAGAGAGGGGAACUGUGGAAUGAAGCAGAUUUUUAUAUACUCGCUUAACAAACAUCUUAAGUCAUGAUUAAGUAAACAAUAAAGAACAAAAGAUCAAAACAAACAGAAAUUGAGAAUGCAAAUGAAUACAUUGAUAGUCUGAAAAAAAUGCAAUGAAAGUCAAAACUGUAUAAUUUUACAAAUGUAAAUACAGAGAAAAAGUUCUAGAUGUACGCCCAUGACUUUUAUAACAGUGUUAUUCCUACGAAGUGGGAAGGGGGACCAGGACAUGGCAAAGGGCCAGUUACAGAGAGAGACUACAUCCUGGGAUGUCUGAGACAGUCUAUAGUUAUUCUUGUUUCAAUCACUGGUUGACUUACAUCUGCUUAUAUUGCUUUCCUUUCACACCACUGGUCUACACUUUUGGGGCAGUGAUAACAAUAAGAUUGUGCCAGGCAUUAUUCUAAAAACAAUGCCAGAUUAAUUUAUACAUGUGCCAUACGGCAAUUUGGCUUUUCCAGGUGGCUGCAAUAAGAUUUCUCAUUCCACAUGCUCUUCUUACAAUGUGACAAUUACAUCCAUCCCACUGAGAGGUAGCAUCUAUGCUCCCUUCAAUCUAAGUGAGUCUGUGACUACAGAGGAAGUGACACAAUGCAGCUUCUGAGACUCUUGGGAUAUCGCUCUUGAAGUCCAGCCACCAAGUUGUAAGGAAGCCCAGGUUAUAUGAAGAGGCCACAUCUAGCAAUUCUAGUUAAAACCCCAGCUAAUCUGUAUCAAUGACGACUGCUUCAUAAUAAAUCACCUCAAAAUUUAGUGGCUUAGAACAACAUUUUAUUACUGCCUCUCAUGGUUUGAGGGGUUGACUUGGUUCACCUGAUGUUUUUACUCAGGGUCUCUUAGUGCACUUGCAAUCAGACAGUGCCUGCACUUAAGUCAUCUCAAAGACCUCCUCACUUACAUGUCUGGCACUUAAUAGUGGCUACUGGCUGAGCUCUCUUCUGGGGCUGUCUGUUGGAAUACCUAUGUGUUUAGGUUUCCUCAUGGUGUCUAGGUUCUAAGAAUGAGCAUCUCAAAAGGAAGCUAGGCAGAAGCUGUGCAGCUGUUUAUGACUCAGCCUUCAAAGUCAUAAAACUUCAUUUUUUGUCCUUUUUUAUUGGUUGUGGCAGUCCCAGGGUUCUACCCAGUAUCAGAGGGAAGAGAUAUAGAUUUCGAUUCCUAGAGAAGAAGUAGCAAACCAACUCUAAGAAGAACAAGUGAGAUGGAAGAUGUUAUUCUAGUCAUCCUGAGAAAAUACAAUUUGCCACAGUCCACAACAAUGCUAUUAUUUUUGUUUGUUUGUUUUGUUUUGUUUUGUUUUGUUUUUUUGGCUUUUUGCUAUUUCUUUGGGCCGCUCCCACGGCAUAUGGAGAUUCCCAGGCUAGGGGUCGAAUCGGAGCUGUAGCCACCGGCCUACGCCAGAGCCACAGCAACGCGGGAUCCGAGCCGCGUCUGCAACCUACACCACAGCUCACGGCAACGCCGGAUCCUUAACCCACUGAGCAAGGGCAGGGACCGAACCCGCAACCUCAUGGUUCCCAGUCGGAUUCGUUAACCACUGUGCCAUGAUGGGAACUCCAACAAUGCUAUUAUUAUUAUUUUUUUUUUUGUCUUUUUGCUGUUGUUGUUGCUAUUUCUUGGGCCGCUCCCGUGGCAUAUGGAGGUUCCCAGGCUAGGGGUUGAAUCGGAGCUGUAGCCACCGGCCUACGCCAGAGCCACAGCAACGCGGGAUCCGAGCCGCGUCUGCAACCUACACCACAGCUCACGGCAACGCCAGAUCGUUAACCCACUGAGCAAGGGCAGGGACCGAACCCUCAACCUCAUGGUUCCUAGUCGGAUUCGUUAACCACUGCGCCACGACGGGAACUCCCAA